Molecule: transfer RNA, 76 nt
Filed under: Ruminococcus sp.
Lineage: Bacteria; Bacillati; Bacillota; Clostridia; Eubacteriales; Oscillospiraceae
Description: tRNA-Thr
Rfam family: tRNA
About the family: Transfer RNA (tRNA) molecules are approximately 80 nucleotides in length.
Source: RNAcentral
GCUUGUGUAGCACAGCUGGCAGUGCAGCUCAUUCGUAAUGAGCAGGUCGCAGGUUCAAAUCCCGUCACAAGCUCCA